Molecule: ribosomal RNA, 492 nt
Filed under: uncultured bacterium
Lineage: Bacteria
Description: partial 16S ribosomal RNA
Rfam family: Bacterial small subunit ribosomal RNA
Source: RNAcentral
ACGAACGCUGGCGGCGUGCCUAACACCUGCAAGUUGAGCGACGAACCAGGGCUUGCCCUGGGGCAAAGCAGCGAACGGGUGAGUAACACGUGGGUAACCUACCCCGAUAACCGGGACAACCCGAGGAAACUCGGGCUAAUACCGGAUGUGCUCACUGGACUUCGGUUCAGUGCGUAAAGGAAGCUUCGGCCUCCGUAUCGGGAGGGGCCCGCGGCCCAUUAGUUUGUUGGUGAGGUAACGGCUCACCAAGACCGCGAUGGGUAGCUGGUCUGAGAGGACGAUCAGCCACACUGGGACUGAGACACGGCCCAGACUCCUACGGGAGGCAGCAGUGGGGAAUCUUGCGCAAUGCGCGAAAGCGUGACGCAGCAACGCCGCGUGGGGGAAGAAGGCCUUCGGGUUGUAAACCCCUUUCAGGAGGGACGAAGGUUCGGCGGUGAAUAGCCGUCCGGACUGACGGUACCUCCACAAGAAGCCCCGGCUAACUACGUG